CUCUACGAUUGAUGGUUCAGUGAGGCUUUCGGACUGGCCCAGGGAGGUCGGCAACGACCACCCAGGGCCGGAAAGUUAUCCAAACUCGAUCAUUUAGAGGAAGUAAAAGUCGUAACAAGGUCUCCGUUGGUGAACCAGCGGAGGGAUCAUUGUUGGAACGCGCUCCGGCGCACCUCCAGACAACCCUUUGUGAACUUAUACCUAUACUGUUGCCUCGGCGUCAGGCUGGCUCCCCUCGGGGGGUCCCUCACCAUCUCGGUGAGGAGCAGGCCCGCCGGCGGCCAAGUUAACUCUUGUUUUUACACUGAAACUCUGAGAAUAAAACAAAAAUGAAUCAAAACUUUCAACAACGGAUCUCUUGGUUCUGGCAUCGAUGAAGAACGCAGCGAAAUGCGAUAAGUAAUGUGAAUUGCAGAAUUCAGUGAAUCAUCGAAUCUUUGAACGCACAUUGCGCCCUCUGGUAUUCCGGAGGGCAUGCCUGUUCGAGCGUCAUUUCAACCCUCAAGCCUGGCUUGGUGAUGGGACACUGCCUUUGAGAAAAGGCAGGUCCUGAAAUUCAGUGGCGAGCUCGCCAGGACCCCGAGCGCAGUAGUUAAACCCUCGCUUUGGAAGGUCUUGGUGCGGCCCUGCCGUUAAACCCCCAACUUCUGAAAAUUUGACCUCGGAUCAGGUAGGAAUACCCGCUGAACUUAAGCAUAUCAAUAAGCGGAGGAAAAGAAACCAACAGGGAUUGCCCUAGUAACGGCGAGUGAAGCGGCAACAGCUCAAAUUUGAAAUCUGGCCUCGGCCCGAGUUGUAAUUUGCAGAGGAUGUUUCUGGCGCGGUGCCUUCCGAGUUCCCUGGAACGGGACGCCAAAGAGGGUGAGAGCCCCGUAUGGUCGGACACCAAGCCUGUGUGAAACUCCUUCGACGAG
Molecule: ribosomal RNA, 914 nt
Filed under: Phomopsis sp. I414b
Lineage: Eukaryota; Fungi; Ascomycota; Sordariomycetes; Diaporthales; Diaporthaceae
Also listed under: 1 other name
Description: eukaryotic LSU rRNA
Rfam family: Eukaryotic large subunit ribosomal RNA (bases 657-914)
Source: RNAcentral